CCUACGGGAGGCACCAGUGGGGGAUACUGGACAAUGGGCGAAAGCCUGAUCCAGCAAUGCCGCGUGUGUGAAGAAGGUCUUCGGAUUGUAAAGCACUUUCGACGGGGACGAUGAUGACGGUACCCGUAGAAGAAGCACCGGCUAACUCCGUGCCAGCAGCCGCGGUAAUACGGAGGGUGCUAGCGUUGCUCGGAAUGACUGGCGUAAAGGGCGCGUAGGCGGUUUAUGCAGUCAGAUGUGAAAUCCCCGGGCUUAACCUGGGAACUGCAUUUGAGACGCAUAGACUAGAGGUCGAGAGAGGGUUGUGGAAUUCCCAGUGUAGAGGUGAAAUUCGUAGAUAUUGGGAAGAACACCGGUGGCGAAGGCGGCAACCUGGCUCGAUACUGACGCUGAGGCGCGAAAGCGUGGGGAGCAAACAGGAUUAGAUACCCUCGUAGUC
Molecule: ribosomal RNA, 439 nt
Filed under: uncultured bacterium
Lineage: Bacteria
Description: bacterial SSU rRNA
Rfam family: Bacterial small subunit ribosomal RNA
Source: RNAcentral